RNAcentral lists this ribosomal RNA (280 nucleotides) under uncultured bacterium. RNAcentral's name for it is "partial 16S ribosomal RNA". It matches the Rfam family "Bacterial small subunit ribosomal RNA", at positions 1108 to 1397 of the family's 1533-position model. The record is from RNAcentral.
UUUUUAGUUGCCUUAUGGAACUCUAGAAAGACUGCCGGUUAUAAACCGGAGGAAGGCGGGGAUGACGUCAAGUCAGCAUGCCCCUUACACCCUGGGCUACACACGUGCUACAAUGGGCGAGACAAUGAGAUGCAAGUCUGCGAAGAUUAGCUAAUCUAUAAACUCGUUCUAAGUUCGGAUUGUAGGCUGCAACUCGCCUGCAUGAAGUUGGAAUCGCUAGUAAUCGCUGGUCAGCUAUACAGCGGUGAAUUCGUUCCCGGGCCUUGCACACACCGCCCGU